GGCCCUACGGGAGGCAGCAGUGAGGAAUAUUGGUCAAUGGACGCAAGUCUGAACCAGCCAAGUAGCGUGCAGGAUGACGGCCCUCCGGGUUGUAAACUGCUUUUAGUUGGGAAUAAAAGGGGGCUCGUGAGCCCCGUAUUGUAUGUACCAUCAGAAAAAGGACCGGCUAAUUCCGUGCCAGCAGCCGCGGUAAUACGGAAGGUCCGGGCGUUAUCCGGCUUUAUUGGGUUUAAAGGGUGCGUAGGCGGGCUUUUAAGUCAGCGGUAAAAAUUCGGGGCUCAACCCCGUCCGGCCGUUGAAACUGG
Molecule: ribosomal RNA, 305 nt
Filed under: uncultured bacterium
Lineage: Bacteria
Description: bacterial SSU rRNA
Rfam family: Bacterial small subunit ribosomal RNA
Source: RNAcentral